Long non-coding RNA from Solanum stenotomum, 526 nucleotides. RefSeq lists it as uncharacterized. The record is from RefSeq and is a predicted model, not a curated record. NCBI's taxonomy places the organism in Eukaryota, Viridiplantae, Streptophyta, Magnoliopsida, Solanales, Solanaceae. The transcript is spliced from 2 exons.
UUAUAUUCAGACACGUCAUCAUCUUUAUCAUAAUUUUUUAAAAAAAAACACCUAAAAAAAGGAAAAAAAACAGCACCAAAAUCCUAAAUCCAAUGUCUUUUUCCAGAUUUUAAAGAGUGAAGAAAUUAAAGUUCUGUUUCAGUUUCAGUACGAGGUGAUCCAUCAGUUUAUGAAUUUUGUGGUGUUGUCAGAACAACAAGGAAAUUGAAGCCUUUAGGUUUAAGAAAAACUUGAAUCAAUGGGUUUUGUGAUUGUAAUAUCACUGCCAUUGAUUCUGAUCAUCCUUAUCUCAGCUCUUGCUUGUUACCUCUUUGGUAAGUCACGAGGCCGCCGAGAAGCCGCCCUGGUUCCUCCGUACUAUGGACCGCCACCACCAGCACCUCCUCCCGGAGUCCUUUCUCCGCCACCCCAAAAAUAACAUUUUUACUUCUCAAUAUUGUAAAUGUCAUAUUGUUAAAAUUUGAGCUAUACCUUUCUUUGUUUAAUUGUAUGUGACCAAAUGAAUUGUGUUAUCCAAGCGCGUUAA